Molecule: ribosomal RNA, 503 nt
Filed under: uncultured bacterium
Lineage: Bacteria
Description: bacterial SSU rRNA
Rfam family: Bacterial small subunit ribosomal RNA
Source: RNAcentral
ACGGAGCAACGCCGCGUGAGUGAUGACGGCCUUCGGGUUGUAAAACUCUGUGAUCCAGGGACGAAAAGGCAGAGUGCGAAGAACAAACUGCAUUGACGGUACCGGAAAAGCAAGCCACGGCUAACUACGUGCCAGCAGCCGCGGUAAUACGUAGGUGGCAAGCGUUGUCCGGAAUUAUUGGGCGUAAAGCGCGCGCAGGCGGCUUCCCAAGUCCCUCUUAAAAGUGCGGGGCUUAACCCCGUGAUGGGAAGGAAACUGGGAAGCUGGAGUAUCGGAGAGGAAAGUGGAAUUCCUAGUGUAGCGGUGAAAUGCGUAGAGAUUAGGAAGAACACCGGUGGCGAAGGCGACUUUCUGGACGAAAACUGACGCUGAGGCGCGAAAGCGUGGGGAGCAAACAGGAUUAGAUACCCUGGUAGUCCACGCCGUAAACGAUGGAUACUAGGUGUAGGAGGUAUCGACCCCUCCUGUGCCGGAGUUAACGCAAUAAGUAUCCCGCCUGGGAA